RNAcentral lists this ribosomal RNA (1301 nucleotides) under Curtobacterium sp. RNAcentral describes it as "bacterial SSU rRNA". It matches the Rfam family "Bacterial small subunit ribosomal RNA", at positions 131 to 1444 of the family's 1533-position model. The record is from RNAcentral. Lineage: Bacteria; Bacillati; Actinomycetota; Actinomycetes; Micrococcales; Microbacteriaceae.
CCUGACUCUGGGAUAAGCGUUGGAAACGACGUCUAAUACUGGAUAUGACUGCCGGCCGCAUGGUCUGGUGGUGGAAAGAUUUUUUGGUUGGGGAUGGACUCGCGGCCUAUCAGCUUGUUGGUGAGGUAAUGGCUCACCAAGGCGACGACGGGUAGCCGGCCUGAGAGGGUGACCGGCCACACUGGGACUGAGACACGGCCCAGACUCCUACGGGAGGCAGCAGUGGGGAAUAUUGCACAAUGGGCGAAAGCCUGAUGCAGCAACGCCGCGUGAGGGAUGACGGCCUUCGGGUUGUAAACCUCUUUUAGUAGGGAAGAAGCGAAAGUGACGGUACCUGCAGAAAAAGCACCGGCUAACUACGUGCCAGCAGCCGCGGUAAUACGUAGGGUGCAAGCGUUGUCCGGAAUUAUUGGGCGUAAAGAGCUCGUAGGCGGUUUGUCGCGUCUGCUGUGAAAUCCCGAGGCUCAACCUCGGGCUUGCAGUGGGUACGGGCAGACUAGAGUGCGGUAGGGGAGAUUGGAAUUCCUGGUGUAGCGGUGGAAUGCGCAGAUAUCAGGAGGAACACCGAUGGCGAAGGCAGAUCUCUGGGCCGUAACUGACGCUGAGGAGCGAAAGCGUGGGGAGCGAACAGGAUUAGAUACCCUGGUAGUCCACGCCGUAAACGUUGGGCGCUAGAUGUAGGGACCUUUCCACGGUUUCUGUGUCGUAGCUAACGCAUUAAGCGCCCCGCCUGGGGAGUACGGCCGCAAGGCUAAAACUCAAAGGAAUUGACGGGGGCCCGCACAAGCGGCGGAGCAUGCGGAUUAAUUCGAUGCAACGCGAAGAACCUUACCAAGGCUUGACAUACACCGGAAACGGCCAGAGAUGGUCGCCCCCUUGUGGUCGGUGUACAGGUGGUGCAUGGUUGUCGUCAGCUCGUGUCGUGAGAUGUUGGGUUAAGUCCCGCAACGAGCGCAACCCUCGUUCUAUGUUGCCAGCGCGUUAUGGCGGGGACUCAUAGGAGACUGCCGGGGUCAACUCGGAGGAAGGUGGGGAUGACGUCAAAUCAUCAUGCCCCUUAUGUCUUGGGCUUCACGCAUGCUACAAUGGCCGGUACAAAGGGCUGCGAUACCGUAAGGUGGAGCGAAUCCCAAAAAGCCGGUCUCAGUUCGGAUUGAGGUCUGCAACUCGACCUCAUGAAGUCGGAGUCGCUAGUAAUCGCAGAUCAGCAACGCUGCGGUGAAUACGUUCCCGGGCCUUGUACACACCGCCCGUCAAGUCAUGAAAGUCGGUAACACCCGAAGCCGGUGGCCUAACCCUUG